Long non-coding RNA from Silurus meridionalis, 3157 nucleotides. RefSeq lists it as uncharacterized. The transcript has 2 exons. The record is from RefSeq and is a predicted model, not a curated record. Lineage: Eukaryota; Metazoa; Chordata; Actinopteri; Siluriformes; Siluridae.
UCUGGCACACCCAUAUAACCAGUAUUUUUUCUAAAGUAAAAAAAAAAAAAUGACUAAAUAAAACUUGAUUUAUAUAACCAUGUACCAAAUACACAUGAAAGCUCUGAGGCCCUACACUGUGCAAGGCCAAGUGCCUUUCAAACACAAACCAGGCCAAAGAGACAAAGAAAAGAAAAAAAAAAGAAGGGACGAUUGGCCUUUUGCAUACAAAAAAAAAUGCUGAAUCACAGGUAUCGUUGGUACGAAGUCAUGUCAUAAUAACCAACCACAAUGUUCUUGAUUUUGUCAUUUAAAUGUAUAAAGGUUCAUCAGCCCCCAUAAGUAAUACUCAUAAGGACAAAGCAUCAUUUAAUUUGCAGUUCAACUCACAAAACCUUUAGUCAAUUCCUCUAGAAUGUAGUCUAAACCUAUUUGACCUUGUGUCAAGGACACUUUUUGAUCGUCUGGAGUUUUUAAUCUAACAGCACAUUUGCUCAGUUUUCUCAUUUUCUUCUCCCCCUCUCUCUCUUCUCCUGUCACUCCAAAACACACAGUAAAGCUCUAGUGGAGAUAUUUACCUUAACACUGGCUUGGAAUAAUUUUAUCAGGCCUAAACGCAGAAGAAACAGGGAGGUUUUCAUUCCCAUCGCCGGAUCCUUAAACACACAGCUUUUACAGAGGGGUCGGCGUGCGACGCCUCAAGAGCAACAAGCCCAGAAUAACCAUCUUUUCUGCCUUAUGGUACUUGUUUGGCUCUUUUUUUUUUCUCUUUUCUUUUUUUGUUUUGGUCUUUUAAAAAUGAAAUCCAGCAUAAAUUAAGAGCCUGUGAGGAAUGAAACUGCAGAAAAAUUUUGGGGCUGAUUUUUAAGAGGCUUUUAUGCAAACCAGCCCCCUCAUUUUCUUGCUGAAGACAGGAUGAAGGAGGGAAAAAAAUUGCAUGAGCUCUUCUUCAUUUCUCAGAGAUUUCACCAGGCAGGCUUUAUUAAGGUAAUGGUCGUUUCACUGAAGGGGGAAAUAUGUUUUUUUUUGUUUUGUUUUUAUAAGAAAAACAAUAAUAAUGGAUUUAACAUUUGCAUUUAUUGCCAUGUCCUGAUUUACAAAUAUCUGCAAAGCAAAUAUUCAUUUGCUCCUUUUUUAUUGCAAUUAAAAUACUUCAAAUCUUUAAAUUACCAUUUUUAUUUACAAUUAUCUCGUUAUUUAUCAGGGAUGAAAUGAUCAUUUCUAAUAAAUACUUUAGAGUUGUAUUUGUUUAUCUAAAGGAGGAAAGCUGUCCUUUUUUUUUUGCCAAGUCUCUUUAAUGGCUGCUUAGCUGUUGUCUGCUUUCAAAAUGGCGGCGUCUCGAACAGAAGCAGCUGCAAAAGGAGGAAGAAGAAGAAGAAGUGGAAGUCGGUCCGCCAUUUCUGGGGCGAGCCGCACUCCCAUACUAGCGCACUAAACAGUGUGGAAAAGCACGUCAUGGUGUGUUUGUGUUUGCUAAUAUUCUCAUUUCGUCACCAAAAAAAAAGAAGACACGUGAAGGAUCUAAUGAAACAUCUCGCGCUAUUGGAAUAAGCAGUGCGCUUUAAUUAGUAUCGCAUCAAUCAUACUAAUCAGUAGGUUAGUGCGCGCGCGGUCACUGCAGGGAUACAUUAUAACAAUUAAGACCCAAAAAUUUGGCGGGACUUUUUAUCAUAUAUGGGCAUAAAAAGUACAUUUAAAAAUGUUUCGGUUGAAACCGGAACAUGUUUGUGUCUGGUCUCGUCUCGUGUUAUGUGUAGACCCCUCCUUCGAGAAUGUUCCAGACUGUAACUCGAUCCAGGACGAGGCUGCAGAGCAAACCAGAAGCUCAGAGAGAGAGAAAGAAAGGACAUUCUGUUCUCUUGAAUCUGAGCCCACGUGACAAGUCUGCAAAUAGCGCGCGGUAUGUGGCGUGUUUAGCGCGUUUCCCCAUUUUGCAAUUGCAUUGAAUAGUGUGCAGUGCAUGCAUUUUAUUUUCUCUACAAAGCAAUCCGUCUGUUUCUCAUGCAUUUAUUAUCAUUUUUUUAAACCUCUUCUGCACUGGGAGCAUUACAGGAACCUAGAGGCUUUCAUGGGGUCAGAUGUUCAGCAAUAACUCCAAAUGGUACUAUGGGUUCUAUCCUGAUAUUCCUAAAUUUAGAUGAGAGUUUUGAUUUAAUUGAUGGAACAUGACAAUGGAUUUUGGAUUACGAAAAGGAAUGUACGUGUGGGUGGGGGUGUGGGGGGGAUUCAUCAGAUAGAUGUUUGAGCAUCACAGUGCUCCUGGGUGAUAGCGAUAUAAUGAAUGUAUGUGAGAACAUGGUGGAAAAAAAACAGCAGCAGCUCUGGAAAAAUCGUGCUUUCGGUCGAACCUCAGACCAUCUGAGCAGGAGUGAAAAUGGGAGCCGCAGCCUGGAGGGUGGAGGGUGGAGGGCACGCAGCUCGUUCAGAAGUGCUUCUUGCUGCUUCUAUUUUAAACCCAGAGACAGACAAGGACAGACAGAAAUCCUGCUGUUUGUGCUGCCAAAGAAACCGGUUUUGUGCGCACUGGAUCCUUAAAGACGAUCGUCAGUGGAAUAGGUAUCUGCUAGGCCAUGUUUGUGAGCCAACUCGGACAGAAAGGCUGAUUUAGGAACUAAUCAAUGUUGGUUAAAGAUCUACAGAUGGGGUGAUUUUCCAGUGGAUCGAGCUUAGGGUUCAAAGGUCAGAUUCGACGUUUAAACCUAGGACAGAGUGAUUACAGGGUUUUAUUGAAAUAAAGCAUCUUGAGAUGUAAGUACUGUUUAUUGGCACUUGGCUCAAAGGGGAAUGAAUGAGAGACAAUUACUAUAAAGAUUUAAUCAUUUUUCAGAGUCUCUAAUUAUAUAUGUAGUUGAUAUUUAGUUGGUUGCUUGUAUCAUCUCAGUCGGUAGGUGCCAUAAAAUGCAGAAUGUUUUUGUGAUCCUGGACAUGACCGGGAAAUGAGGUGUUGUUCAGCAAACAUCUACCUAUAAAACCAGAUGAAAAUCCAGGAAUUUCAGUAUCACGGUUAUUUGGUUCUGUAGAUUAAAAUUGUUUUAAGGAAAUGGGUAGUAACUAAUAGGUUAUAAUCAGUAACACAAGUAUUGCACAAUUGAUUUUUUAUUGAAAUAAUAUUCGAAAUACACAUGAUGAAUUUGUAUCGUGUGUAUAUUUAAAAAUAAUAAACAUUUCUUUUAGUGGA